CUUUUACAAUGAAGAGUUUGAUCCUGGCUCAGGAUGAACGCUAGCUACAGGCUUAACACAUGCAAGUCGAGGGGCAGCAUGAACUUAGCUUGCUAAGUUUGAUGGCGACCGGCGCACGGGUGAGUAACACGUAUCCAACCUGCCGAUGACUCGGGGAUAGCCUUUCGAAAGAAAGAUUAAUACCCGAUGGCAUAGUUCUUCCGCAUGGUGGAACUAUUAAAGAAUUUCGGUCAUCGAUGGGGAUGCGUUCCAUUAGGUUGUUGGCGGGGUAACGGCCCACCAAGCCUUCGAUGGAUAGGGGUUCUGAGAGGAAGGUCCCCCACAUUGGAACUGAGACACGGUCCAAACUCCUACGGGAGGCAGCAGUGAGGAAUAUUGGUCAA
This 383-nucleotide ribosomal RNA is filed under the name Bacteroides uniformis. RNAcentral describes it as "bacterial SSU rRNA". It matches the Rfam family "Bacterial small subunit ribosomal RNA", at positions 1 to 371 of the family's 1533-position model. The record is from RNAcentral. Lineage: Bacteria; Pseudomonadati; Bacteroidota; Bacteroidia; Bacteroidales; Bacteroidaceae.